GUUGAAAAACUGGUUCCUGUACGAUCAGCGAAGAUAAGCAACGUCGGGCCUAGUCAGUACCUAGAUGGGUGAAGGCUUGGGGAAUAUUAGGUGCUGUAAG
This is a non-coding RNA of Acanthosepion pharaonis, 100 nucleotides long. The record is from the annotation of a GenBank genome assembly. NCBI's taxonomy places the organism in Eukaryota, Metazoa, Mollusca, Cephalopoda, Sepiida, Sepiidae.